CCUACGUGUGGCAGCAGUGAGGAAUAUUGGUCAAUGGGCGCGAGCCUGAACCAGCCAAGUCGCGUGAGGGAAGACGGUCCUAUGGAUUGUAAACCUCUUUUGUCGGGGAGCAAAAGACGCCACGCGUGGCGUUCCGAGAGUACCCGAAGAAAAAGCAUCGGCUAACUCCGUGCCAGCAGCCGCGGUAAUACGGAGGAUGCGAGCGUUAUCCGGAUUUAUUGGGUUUAAAGGGUGCGUAGGCGGAAUAUCAAGUCAGCGGUAAAAAUUCGAGGCUCAACCCCGUCGUGCCGUUGAACCUGAUGGUCUUGAGUGGGCGAGAAGUAUGCGGAAUGCGUGGUGUAGCGGUGAAAUGCUUAGAUAUCACGAAGAACUCCGAUUGCGAAGGCAGCCUACUAAACUGCCACUGACAUUGAUGCUCGAAAGUGUGGGUAUCAAACAGGAUUAGAUACCCCAGUAGUC
RNAcentral lists this ribosomal RNA (459 nucleotides) under uncultured bacterium. Its description in RNAcentral is "partial 16S ribosomal RNA". It matches the Rfam family "Bacterial small subunit ribosomal RNA", at positions 338 to 795 of the family's 1533-position model. The record is from RNAcentral.